GUAGAAGCAAUGCAAUAAACACACAGAGAGAUCGGCAGCCCAGCAGUCAGGGAAGGGCAACUCUGUUCCCUUCAUUCCCUGAGCAGUCAGGAGGAGGCAGGGUCUUCAGUCAUCCCCACUCCACUUGCUGGCCAGAGGAGAGGAGAUGUAGAGAUGUCUUUAGGAUCAGUGAACCCUACAGCCACGCUACAUCUGCAGAUGCCAUGCCUCAGAUAGCCCUCUCAUAUCCCUGAUGUGAAGAAUUCCUCCUGGGCUGGUGCAGCUGUGCCUGGACUUUACAAGCUCUCCCUUUGCUAUGUGUGGACAUUUACUUCUUGUGAUGUUUUUUGCUUAAGGAGGUUGAAAGAAGCUGAAACUGUGACAUGAGCUAUGCAGGCUACCAUGCACGGGGGUGUGCUCAUCAGAAGGAUGAACUCUCAGUCACAGAGGAAAAGACAUUACGGCAGUGGAGACAGAAAGUGAGUCAUGUGGGCAUCUCAAGCAUAAUGCAAGAUUGAUUAAUUUCUGCAGUGUGCAGCAACUGUUUCUGAAGCUUGGGCUCGUAGUGAUGUUUAAAGUGAACUUAUCUGCUGGGUAAUGAUUUAAUUUGUACACUUACUAAUUGUUGUAACAGCCAGGCAGCAGGGUAUUGAUUAGGUGCUGUGAAUGUUGCAACACAAUAAAUGGAAAGAAGUAGGUGUUCUCUCCCUUGGCUCAGGUGAUGCCUUUCUCCAGGAACGGACCCACUGACUUUCAGGAGCACAACUUGCAGGAGUGAAGAGAUAAGAACCUGACCAUAGCUACCAGGUCUGACUGAAAGUCAGUUAAAUAGGGAUAAAUGUGUUGAAAUAAUUAACAUCAUUCUUAUGAGGGACACAAACACACAGUGUCUUCUGAUGGAAUAGGUGCCAAUCUCCCUGGGCCUGUUCCUGUUGCGAAGCAUUUGUUCAUGACCCUGUCUGAGCCCAGACUCACAGAUCAUUUAAAUACAUUUCCUGAACUUUGUUCUGGCAUCCCCACUCGCCGUCGCUGAUUGUUCCUGGAAACACAUUGGGAACAGGAUGCCAGAGAGGAGGUUUGCAGAGAAGCCCCAGCUCCCUCCUGCAGGAUGGGGCUGAAGGCAAGGAGCGCUGCCGCAGGCUGCGUGGUGUUUGUCGUGGCCUUCAGCAGAGGCAGGACCAGGAGCGAGGGCUCCUCCUCUGCGUCUCUGAAAACCAAGCAGCCUGCUUUAAGCCUGGGUCCCAAGACUAAUAAAAACUCUUGAGUGAUGAGACACAAAAGAUGUGUAGAGCUGGCUAGCACACCUGGCUAACAGUGACCUCCGAGGACGGUCUGGGGCAGCUCUUCCCUCGCCCGUUCGGGUGGCAGGAACGAAGAGGGAGCCACUGCAGCCUGUAAUGGAUGUGUUCUGCUAACACGGACUCACAGGUUUCCAAAGAGAAAUUUAUAUCAAGAUGUCUAAUUUGUGAGAAAGCACUGAAAGUGAAAUUUCGGUUAUAACCACGCAGGCUCUUAGCAGAUAUGCCACAGCACAGAGAGCUGCUUGGAAAGAUCUAACUCCAGAGUGCAGGAUGUGUGGCCAGGCCCCAGAGAAUAUUAGUCAUAUUAUAAGUGAAUGCUCAGAGCUGGCCGGAGAUGAGUAUAAAGUACAGUAUGACAAAGUUGGCAGUACGUGCAUUGAGCAUGCUGCCGGGGGGCGGGGGGGAUACUGCCACAACCACAAUUAUCACUCCCAGCCAGGUAAAUUGAUUGCAACUGAGGUAAAAUUGAAGUUUGUUAAAAAACAAAACAACAGUCAGUUGUGGUGCCUGCAGAAUAGAGGGGGAGAGCGACAGAGCAAGCUUCAACCUUAACGUCUGCGCUGGGUGACGGCACUGACGGAGAACACAAGAAGCUGCAAAUACGAGUGCAUAUAGCAGGAAGAAAAUCUGGGGCAUGAAAAUGGGCCAUGACUCUGUAUCUCCCCCUUAUUUCCAGUGGGUUGAGAUCUUGCAGCAGCGCUUGGGCUGGAGAUCAG
Molecule: non-coding RNA, 1996 nt
Organism: Anas platyrhynchos (mallard)
Lineage: Eukaryota; Metazoa; Chordata; Aves; Anseriformes; Anatidae
Source: RefSeq, a predicted model, not a curated record